UAAGGUAAUACUUACUGGAGGUCCGAACCCACGCACGUUGAAAAGUGCGGGGAUGAGGUGUGGGUAGCGGAGAAAUUCCAAUCGAACUUGGAGAUAGCUGGUUCUCUCCGAAAUAGCUUUAGGGCUAGCCUCGAGGUAAAGAGUCAUGGAGGUAGAGCACUGUUUGGACUAGGGGCCCUUCUCGGGUUACCGAAUUCAGAUAAACUCCGAAUGCCAUGUACUUAUACUCGGGAGUCAGACUGCGAGUGAUAAGAUCCGUAGUCGAAAGGGAAACAGCCCAGACCACCAGUUAAGGUCCCCAAAUAUAUGUUAAGUGGAAAAGGAUGUGGGGUUGCUUAGACAACCAGGAUGUUGGCUUAGAAGCAGCCACCAUUGAAAGAGUGCGUAAUAGCUCACUGGUCGAGUGACCCCGCGCCGAAAAUGUACCGGGGCUAAACAUAUUACCGAAACUGUGGAUGAACCUCUUUAGAGGUUCGUGGUAGGAGAGCGUUCUAAGGGCGGUGAAGUCAGACCGGAAGGACUGGUGGAGCGCUUAGAAGUGAGAAUGCCGGUAUGAGUAGCGAAAGAAGGGUGAGAAUCCCUUCCACCGAAUAUCUAAGGUUUCCUGAGGAAGGCUCGUCCGCUCAGGGUUAGUCGGGACCUAAGCCGAGGCCGAUAGGCGUAGGCGAUGGACAACAGGUAGAGAUUCCUGUACCAGUGCUAAUUGUUUAACCGAUGGGGUGACACAGAAGGAUAGGGAAUCGCACGAAUGGAAAUGUGCGUCCAAGCAGUGAGUGUGAGAAGUAGGCAAAUCCGCUUCUCGCGAAGCAUGAGCUGUGAUGGGGAAGGAAAUUAAGUACGGAAGUUCCUGAUUUCACGCUGUCAAGAAAAGCCUCUAGGAAGAGUAGUACUGCCCGUACCGCAAACCGACACAGGUAGAUGAGGAGAGAAUCCUAAGGUGAGCGAGAGAACUCUCGUUAAGGAACUCGGCAAAAUGACCCCGUAACUUCGGGAGAAGGGGUGCUCUAUUAGGGUGCAAGCCCGAGAGAGCCGCAGUGAAUAGGCCCAGGCGACUGUUUAGCAAAAACACAGGUCUCUGCAAAACCGUAAGGUGACGUAUAGGGGCUGACGCCUGCCCGGUGCUGGAAGGUUAAGAGGAGUGCUUAGCUUCGGCGAAGGUACGAAUUGAAGCCCCAGUAAACGGCGGCCGUAACUAUAACGGUCCUAAGGUAGCGAAAUUCCUUGUCGGGUAAGUUCCGACCCGCACGAAAGGCGCAACGAUCUGGGCACUGUCUCAACGAGAGACUCGGUGAAAUUAUAGUACCUGUGAAGAUGCAGGUUACCCGCGACAGGACGGAAAGACCCCGUGGAGCUUUACUGCAACCUGAUAUGGAAUGUUUGUACCGCUUGUACAGGAUAGGUAGGAGCCGAAGAGACGUGUGCGCUAGCAUACGAGGAGGCAAUGGUGGGAUACUACCCUGGCUGUAUGACCAUUCUAACCCGCCACGCUUAGCGCGUGGGGAGACAGUGUCAGGUGGGCAGUUUGACUGGGGCGGUCGCCUCCUAAAGAGUAACGGAGGCGCCCAAAGGUUCCCUCAGAAUGGAUGGAAAUCAUUCGCAGAGUGUAAAGGCACAAGGGAGCUUGACUGCGAGACUGACAAGUCGAGCAGGGACGAAAGUCGGGCUUAGUGAUCCGGUGGUUCCGCAUGGAAGGGCCAUCGCUCAACGGAUAAAAGCUACCCCGGGGAUAACAGGCUUAUCUCCCCCAAGAGUCCACAUCGACGGGGAGGUUUGGCACCUCGAUGUCGGCUCGUCGCAUCCUGGGGCUGUAGUCGGUCCCAAGGGUUGGGCUGUUCGCCCAUUAAAGCGGCACGCGAGCUGGGUUCAGAACGUCGUGAGACAGUUCGGUCCCUAUCCGUCGCGGGCGCAGGAAAUUUGAGAGGAGCUGUCCUUAGUACGAGAGGACCGGGAUGGAC
Molecule: ribosomal RNA, 1955 nt
Filed under: Listeria monocytogenes
Lineage: Bacteria; Bacillati; Bacillota; Bacilli; Caryophanales; Listeriaceae
Description: partial 23S ribosomal RNA
Rfam family: Bacterial large subunit ribosomal RNA
Source: RNAcentral